GUAUUAAUUGCGUGUGAUCGCAAAAGAAAAACAUUCUACACUGUAUCGAGUUUGUGUGAAAACGUGAGCCCCCGAAAGGGGACCCACGCGGUGGUGCACAUAGGGGUGAGAUGGAUGUUUGAGAACGCUCGGGCGUGCACGACGAAAAAGUCAGCGACAGCCCUCGCAUGCCUCACACAUUUUGUACGAUAAUGAUCCUUCCGCAGGUUCACCUACGGAAA
RNAcentral lists this unclassified non-coding RNA (221 nucleotides) under uncultured fungus. Its description in RNAcentral is "sequence contains ITS1". Lineage: Eukaryota; Fungi. The record is from RNAcentral.